UGGCUCAGUUGUUAGAGCAUGGUGUUUGCAACGCCAGGGUUGUGGGUUCGAUUCCCAC
This is a non-coding RNA of Salmo salar (Atlantic salmon), 58 nucleotides long. The record is from Rfam. Lineage: Eukaryota; Metazoa; Chordata; Actinopteri; Salmoniformes; Salmonidae.